RNAcentral lists this ribosomal RNA (253 nucleotides) under uncultured bacterium. RNAcentral's name for it is "partial 16S ribosomal RNA". It matches the Rfam family "Bacterial small subunit ribosomal RNA", at positions 524 to 776 of the family's 1533-position model. The record is from RNAcentral.
UACGGAGGGAGCGAGCGUUGUUCGGAAUUACUGGGCGUAAAGGGUGCGCAGGCGGCUUGGCAAGUCGGAAGUGAAAUCCCAGGGCUUAACCCUGGAAUUGCUUUCGAAACUGCCAAGCUUGAGUCUCGGAGAGGUUAGCGGAAUUCCCAGUGUAGAGGUGAAAUUCGUAGAUAUUGGGAGGAACACCAGUGGCGUAAGCGGCUAACUAGACGAGUACUGACGCUCAGGCACGAAAGCGUGGGGAUCAAACAGG